AGUGAACGCUGGCGGCAGGCCUAAUACAUGCAAGUCGAACGGCAGCACAGCAGAGCUUGCUCUGUGGGUGGCGAGUGGCGGACGGGUGAGGAAUACAUGGGAAUCUGCCCAGUCGUGGGGGAUAACGUAUGGAAACGUACGCUAAUACCGCAUGCGCCCUACGGGGGAAAGUCGGGGACCGCAAGGCCUGACGCGAUUGGAUGAGCCCAUGUUCGAUUAGCUAGUUGGCGGGGUAAAGGCCCACCAAGGCGACGAUCGAUAGCUGGUCUGAGAGGAUGAUCAGCCACACUGGAACUGAGACACGGUCCAGACUCCUACGGGAGGCAGCAGUAGGGAAUAUUGGACAAUGGGGGCGAACCCUGAUCCAGCCAUGCCGCGUGAGUGAAGAAGGCCCUCGGGUUGUAAAGCUCUUUGUCCGGAAAGAAAAGCAAUCGGUUAAUACCCGGUUGUCCUGACGGUACCGGAAGAAUAAGCACCGGCUAAC
RNAcentral lists this ribosomal RNA (484 nucleotides) under uncultured bacterium. Its description in RNAcentral is "bacterial SSU rRNA". It matches the Rfam family "Bacterial small subunit ribosomal RNA", at positions 29 to 501 of the family's 1533-position model. The record is from RNAcentral.